GACGAACCGUCCUAACGUUGUUCGGAAUCACUGGGCUUAAAGGGCGCGUAGGCGGGCACGCAAGUCCGGGGUGAAAUCUUUCGGCUUAACCGGAAAACAGCCUUGGAAACUGCGUGUCUGGAGGGAGGUAGGGGCAUGUGGAACUUCCGGUGGAGCGGUGAAAUGCGUUGAUAUCGGAAGGAACGCCGGUGGCGAAAGCGACGUGCUGGACCUCUUCUGACGCUGAGGCGCGAAAGCCAGGGGAGCAAACGGG
RNAcentral lists this ribosomal RNA (253 nucleotides) under uncultured bacterium. Its description in RNAcentral is "partial 16S ribosomal RNA". It matches the Rfam family "Bacterial small subunit ribosomal RNA", at positions 524 to 776 of the family's 1533-position model. The record is from RNAcentral.